This 253-nucleotide ribosomal RNA is filed under the name uncultured bacterium. RNAcentral describes it as "partial 16S ribosomal RNA". It matches the Rfam family "Bacterial small subunit ribosomal RNA", at positions 524 to 776 of the family's 1533-position model. The record is from RNAcentral.
UACGUAGGGACCGAGCGUUGUCCGGAUUCAUUGGGCGUAAAGAGCUCGUAGGCGGCUGUUCAAGUCGAACGUGAAAACUCGGGGCUCAACUCCGAGCCUGCGUUCGAUACUGGCAGACUAGAGUUCGGUAGGGGAGACUGGAAUUCCUGGUGUAGCGGUGAAAUGCGUAGAUAUCGAGAGGAACACCUGCGGCGAAGGCGGGUUGCUGGGCUGACACUGACGCUGAUGCGCGAAAGCUAGGGGAGCGAACGGG